GCAUGUAGGUCUGGCGUGGAUCUGGGCUUUGUCAAAUUAUCUGAUGUCCUAGUGCAGGUUUCUACCAAGUAGAAACUGGAGGUCCCUAUUGCUGUGCAGCUGAGUCAGGAAAAGGUCACCUCUGGCUUAUGUGUGAAUAGGGAGGGAACAGAUGGGAGAGUGGGACGUGUUCAGGGAAAGACUCAUGGGGUAGGAAUUGCCAAUGAAUAACAGCAAGGGUAAUUUGGUUUUGAGGUCAGUAAGAGGACUCCCUCUUUAAGGUGAGGUAACAACCUCAGAAAGGUUAGACAGCUGCUUAGUGGAACUCAGCCUUGAACCUGAGGCUGCCGACCUCCAAAGCUGCAAGCACUUGAUUGAAACCAUGCUUGAGAUGGGCAGAUGCCCGUCAAAUGCCAAGCUCCAUACAUCAUCAGGUAUGGCCCUGGCCCUUGCUCCCUGGAGCAUCUCUAUGCUGCUGACAGGCCCUGGGACCUUCCCUCCCCUGACUGGGGAUACAGGAAGGUGGGGUCAUCUUCCUGGUACAGGUGAGAAAGCUGGGAACAUGCCUGCUUCAGAGCUACCCAGAGCCGCGCAUUUUCACGGAUGGCAUGAGACACUGAGGACCCCUGCUGGGAGGAUGGAGUAAUGCAGCCACAGCUGCCUUGUCCCCAGAUGUGGAGAGGAGCCAGCUUCACCAGGGCCUAAGCACCCAGCUCUGCCACAGCUACUUAGCCCACGUGAUCUCAUUUGGUCCCAGAGUCUCUCUGCAGGCCUCCUGAGACGCCCAGCUGGCUGCUGAGAAAAUACCAGAAGUGAGCAGCCGCGCCCCAGAACCAGCCUGACCCCGGGCUUCUCCUUCUCAAGCGUGUACUUGGGCCUUUCUCUAAAACCCUCUGGCUCUGGAACUGACCCCCUCAUGCGUGACCAGGAGCCCACCUUCUAGAGAGACCACGUCGCCCUUCGUCAGUGGGUCAGACCUCUGACCUCGCCCUCCUGCCACUGAUGGUGACCGCGGACACUCUUGGACUGUAGAUUUUAUUUAGUGUUCCUGUUUUCUGUUGGAAAAAAUACUCCCAUGCUUGGAAAGCAGCAGAAGAGCACUGGGUUGUACCCACCCCUUCUUCCAAAUCAGGGCAACUGUCUCAUCUCUGUAGGUUGUUGUUGUUAUUAUUAUUAGAAAUCAUGUAGAGAUGGAUUCGUU
This is a long non-coding RNA of Marmota flaviventris (yellow-bellied marmot), 1180 nucleotides long. RefSeq lists it as uncharacterized. The record is from RefSeq and is a predicted model, not a curated record. NCBI's taxonomy places the organism in Eukaryota, Metazoa, Chordata, Mammalia, Rodentia, Sciuridae.